RNAcentral lists this unclassified non-coding RNA (211 nucleotides) under Glomus sp. RNAcentral describes it as "partial contains 5.8S ribosomal RNA and internal transcribed spacer 2". The stretch from base 1 to 71 matches the Rfam family "5.8S ribosomal RNA", at positions 84 to 154 of the family's 154-position model. Lineage: Eukaryota; Fungi; Glomeromycota; Glomeromycetes; Glomerales; Glomeraceae. The record is from RNAcentral.
GUGAAUCAUCAAAUCUUUGAACGCAAAUUGCACUCUCUGGUAUUCCGGAGAGUAUGCCUGUUUGAGGGUCAGUUUAAUUAAAAAUCGGUGUGUUUCCUCCCUUUCGUGGUGACGCACCGGAUUUGGGUCGUCUUGCCUUCGGUUAGGUGCCCUAAAAUUUUGCAUGAUUUUUUCGCACGUAUUUAACUCAUAUUACGUACGUUUACGUUAA